RNAcentral lists this ribosomal RNA (687 nucleotides) under Pseudarthrobacter sulfonivorans. Its description in RNAcentral is "bacterial SSU rRNA". It matches the Rfam family "Bacterial small subunit ribosomal RNA", at positions 60 to 761 of the family's 1533-position model. Lineage: Bacteria; Bacillati; Actinomycetota; Actinomycetes; Micrococcales; Micrococcaceae. The record is from RNAcentral.
AGUCGACGAUGAUCCCAGCUUGCUGGGGGAUUAGUGGCGAACGGGUGAGUAACACGUGAGUAACCUGCCCUUAACUCUGGGAUAAGCCUGGGAAACUGGGUCUAAUACCGGAUAUGACUCCUCAUCGCAUGGUGGGGGGUGGAAAGCUUUAUUGUGGUUUUGGAUGGACUCGCGGCCUAUCAGCUUGUUGGUGAGGUAAUGGCUCACCAAGGCGACGACGGGUAGCCGGCCUGAGAGGGUGACCGGCCACACUGGGACUGAGACACGGCCCAGACUCCUACGGGAGGCAGCAGUGGGGAAUAUUGCACAAUGGGCGCAAGCCUGAUGCAGCGACGCCGCGUGAGGGAUGACGGCCUUCGGGUUGUAAACCUCUUUCAGUAGGGAAGAAGCGAAAGUGACGGUACCUGCAGAAGAAGCGCCGGCUAACUACGUGCCAGCAGCCGCGGUAAUACGUAGGGCGCAAGCGUUAUCCGGAAUUAUUGGGCGUAAAGAGCUCGUAGGCGGUUUGUCGCGUCUGCCGUGAAAGUCCGGGGCUCAACUCCGGAUCUGCGGUGGGUACGGGCAGACUAGAGUGAUGUAGGGGAGACUGGAAUUCCUGGUGUAGCGGUGAAAUGCGCAGAUAUCAGGAGGAACACCGAUGGCGAAGGCAGGUCUCUGGGCAUUAACUGACGCUGAGGAGCGAAAGCA